Molecule: long non-coding RNA, 785 nt
Organism: Gadus macrocephalus (Pacific cod)
Lineage: Eukaryota; Metazoa; Chordata; Actinopteri; Gadiformes; Gadidae
Exons: 2
Source: RefSeq, a predicted model, not a curated record
GCAGUGCAUUUAUCUCCCCAAUGUAAACCAAUUUGGCUAUAAGGGCCACGGGCUAAGCGAGGCUUCAGGGGGAAGAAAGGAAAACUCCAACCCAGCAGAUGUUUAGUGAAAGGGGGGGAAGACUGCAGCGCUGGGAUGGGUCUGACGAACGGCUGUAUGCAGCAGAAAAGGAAGUGGAACCGUGAGGGAUGAACAAAAAAAGGAGAGAGAGGGAGAGAGCGCCUUGUCCGCGGAGCACGCCGUCCCUGCCGGCGAGAUGGCUCAGGAGAAAUGGACCAAAGACCUAAAAGCUGCCAAUCUCUCCGCCACGGAUGUGCUGCCUGAAAGUGGCUCUCGGCCCCGCAAAGUCACCGGCAGUCGCUCUGCCCAUCGGGGAGAAGGCGGAGCCCCCCGCUGGGUCACACAUUACUACCUGCAAUUCCACGGCACCGGGGGUCCUAUGGUGCUCUUUGGCCCCUGAAAUGGGACAUUAAGACAGAAUCAUCCGAGUUUAGUUGGGGCCAUAGCGAGUUGUUUUAUCUGCGGGAACACACGCGGCGCCUGAGUGUGUUCGGAUGGCUUUUCAAGGUGCUUAUAGCCUGAGGUUGCUGUGAAUGAGGUGUUUGCCCGCUUUUAUCAAUGAGACGUCCCGAGAGAUGAGGACGCCGCUGUUAGGAUGGCGCCGGUGUUGGGAGAUCAAUAAUUGUCCGGGUGUAUUGCUGCAUCACAUCAGUGCCUAACUUUUGAUGUCCAAAGGUUCUUUUUUUAUUCAAUGCAACAUUAAAGUGGAUGUUUGUUUUUAUGUU